Molecule: ribosomal RNA, 322 nt
Filed under: Allapsidae sp.
Lineage: Eukaryota; Cercozoa; Glissomonadida; Viridiraptoridae
Description: SSU rRNA
Rfam family: Eukaryotic small subunit ribosomal RNA (bases 105-322)
Source: RNAcentral
GAUUUCUGGCACGAUUUGCCUGGCCCGCCACGGUUUCGUGUGUGAGUGCCGGGUCGGAUCCGCCAUCCUUCCAGAGAACGGUCCUACCCUUCACUGGGCCGGGGCCGCAAUCUAGAUCUUUUACUUUGAAAAAAUUAGAGUGUUUAAAGCAGGCAUUUGCUAUGAAUACAUUAGCAUGGAAUAAUAAUUUAGGACUUCGGUUCUAUUUUGUUGGUUUCUAGGACUGAAGUAAUGAUUGAUAGGGAUAGUUGGGGGUGCUAGUAUUCAGCGGCCAGAGGUGAAAUUCUCGGAUUCGCUGAAGACUAACUUAUGCGAAAGCAUU